GAAGUUUGUUUCUGGGAGAGAAUAAAAAUUUUGCAGCUGUUUUACACUAUAAAGGAACUGCUUCCAAUCUGACUAGUCAGUCCCGAGUCGUUUCUUCUGAGGAGACAAGUUCAGGAACUUGGACAAGAUAGAGAUGAAGAUAACUGUAGCCACCUUUUGCUUACUUCUUCUGGCAGCUGCAGCCCAUGGUAAUUAAAUGUAGGAA
Long non-coding RNA from Limulus polyphemus (Atlantic horseshoe crab), 205 nucleotides. RefSeq lists it as uncharacterized. NCBI's taxonomy places the organism in Eukaryota, Metazoa, Arthropoda, Merostomata, Xiphosura, Limulidae. The record is from RefSeq and is a predicted model, not a curated record. The transcript is spliced from 3 exons.